CAGGGCUUGACAUGCAUUUGCACCAGUCGUAAUGGACUGUCUCUUCGGAGCGGAUGCACAGGUGCUGCAUGGCUGUCGUCAGCUCGUGUCGUGAGAUGUUGGGUUAAGUCCCGCAACGAGCGCAACUCCUGCGGUUAGUUGAAUAGUCUAGCCGGACUGCCACGAUCAACGUGGAGGAAGGCGGGGAUGACGUCAAGUCAGCACGGCCCUUACGCCUUGGGCGACACACACGCUACAAUGGUCGGUCCAAAGAGUUGCGAACCCGCGAGGGGGAGCCAAUCUCGUCAAAGCCGGCCUCAGUUCAGAUUGGAGGCUGAAACCCGCCUCCAUGAAGUCGGAGUUGCUAGUAACCGUGAGUCAGCACAUCACGGUGAAUACGUUCCC
This 384-nucleotide ribosomal RNA is filed under the name uncultured bacterium. RNAcentral describes it as "bacterial SSU rRNA". It matches the Rfam family "Bacterial small subunit ribosomal RNA", at positions 975 to 1375 of the family's 1533-position model. The record is from RNAcentral.